This 455-nucleotide ribosomal RNA is filed under the name Streptococcus sp. oral taxon C56. RNAcentral describes it as "bacterial SSU rRNA". It matches the Rfam family "Bacterial small subunit ribosomal RNA", at positions 28 to 469 of the family's 1533-position model. Lineage: Bacteria; Bacillati; Bacillota; Bacilli; Lactobacillales; Streptococcaceae. The record is from RNAcentral.
GACGAACGCUGGCGGCGUGCCUAAUACAUGCAAGUAGAACGCUGAAGGAGGAGCUUGCUCUUCUGGAUGAGUUGCGAACGGGUGAGUAACGCGUAGGUAACCUGCCUGGUAGUGGGGGAUAACUAUUGGAAACGAUAGCUAAUACCGCAUAAUAACAGUUGUUGCAUGACAACUGUUUGAAAGGUGCAAUUGCAUCACUACCAGAUGGACCUGCGUUGUAUUAGCUAGUUGGUGGGGUAACGGCUCACCAAGGCGACGAUACGUAGCCGACCUGAGAGGGUGAUCGGCCACACUGGGACUGAGACACGGCCCAGACUCCUACGGGAGGCAGCAGUAGGGAAUCUUCGGCAAUGGACGAAAGUCUGACCGAGCAACGCCGCGUGAGUGAAGAAGGUUUUCGGAUCGUAAAGCUCUGUUGUAAGAGAAGAACGAGUGUGAGAGUGGAAAGUUCACAG